UUACGCGGAUCCCUAGAUUGUCUGCUCAGACGACGCUGCGCUGCUAUACAUCAGUCGACGAACUUCUACCCGAUGCUGCAUCACGUAGAAGUGAGUGCGGACGGUGAGUAACACGUGGUUACCUGCCUAAAAGAAGGGGAUAACACUUGGAAACAGGUGCUAAUACCGUAUAUCUCUAAGGAUCGCAUGAUUCUUAGAUAAAAGAUGGUUCUGCUAUCGCUUUUAGAUGGACCCGCGGCGUAUUAACUAGUUGGUGGGGUAACGGCCUACCAAGGUGAUGAUACGUAGCCGAACUGAGAGGUUGAUCGGCCACAUUGGGACUGAGACACGGCCCAAACUCCUACGGGAGGCAGCAGUAGGGAAUCUUCCACAAUGGACGCAAGUCUGAUGGAGCAACGCCGCGUGAGUGAAGAAGGUCUUCGGAUCGUAAAGCUCUGUUGUUAGAGAAGAACACGAGUGAGAGUAACUGUUCAUUCGAUGACGGUAUCUAACCAGCAAGUCACGGCUAACUACGUGCCAGCAGCCGCGGUAAUACGUAGGUGGCAAGCGUUAUCCGGAUUUAUUGGGCGUAAAGCGAGCGCAGGCGGUUGCUUAGGUCUGAUGUGAAAGCCUUCGGCUUAACCGAAGAAGGGCAUCGGAAACCGGGCGACUUGAGUGCAGAAGAGGACAGUGGAACUCCAUGUGUAGCGGUGGAAUGCGUAGAUAUAUGGAAGAACACCAGUGGCGAAGGCGGCUGUCUGGUCUGCAACUGACGCUGAGGCUCGAAAGCAUGGGUAGCGAACAGGA
RNAcentral lists this ribosomal RNA (786 nucleotides) under uncultured bacterium. Its description in RNAcentral is "bacterial SSU rRNA". It matches the Rfam family "Bacterial small subunit ribosomal RNA", at positions 1 to 777 of the family's 1533-position model. The record is from RNAcentral.